CGAAGACGAACCGACUAUUGUUCUUCAACAAACUCCCCAAAAACGCCAGAAUGAGGAGGUAUCUCGCUCUUCUGGCGACUCGUCUCAAACCUAGUUUCCGGCCUUCAGGACUGCCCCUGGUGGCCAAGCUAAGUCUAAGAAGGCCAAGGU
This is a long non-coding RNA of Triticum dicoccoides, 150 nucleotides long. RefSeq lists it as uncharacterized. The record is from RefSeq and is a predicted model, not a curated record. Lineage: Eukaryota; Viridiplantae; Streptophyta; Magnoliopsida; Poales; Poaceae. The transcript is spliced from 3 exons.